CAGGGGAUGAGGAGUGAAGGAGAAAGAAACUUACUACUAUCUGAAUACCUACUGUGUGCCAGGCUGUGCUAGGUCCUCUGGCUCUAGAAACAGCAAGAGUCUCCGCACCCCACUUGGAACCAUAUGCGAAGGAUGUGAUGACAGUAGCAUUUUUAGCCAUCUCGAUCACAGCUCCAAAUGGAGCUCUACUUAUGGGCAUUCUGGGGCCUAAAAUGCUUACACACCAUUAUGAUCCAAGCAAAAUAAAACUGCAAUUGUCAACAUUAGAACAUCAUUAAAAAGUUUAC
This 287-nucleotide long non-coding RNA is filed under the name Homo sapiens (human). RNAcentral describes it as "HSALNT0357449". Lineage: Eukaryota; Metazoa; Chordata; Mammalia; Primates; Hominidae. The record is from RNAcentral.